Molecule: ribosomal RNA, 464 nt
Filed under: uncultured bacterium
Lineage: Bacteria
Description: partial 16S ribosomal RNA
Rfam family: Bacterial small subunit ribosomal RNA
Source: RNAcentral
ACGAACGCUGGCGGCGUGCUUAACACAUGCAAGUCGAACGGAAAGGCCCCUUUGGGGGUACUCGAGUGGCGAACGGGUGAGUAACACGUGAGUAACCUGCCCUUGACUUCGGGAUAACUUCAGGAAACUGGGGCUAAUACCGGAUAGGAAUCCUUGCUGCAUCGUGGGGGUUGGAAAGCUUCGGCGGUUUUGGAUGGACUCGCGGCUUAUCAGCUUGUUGGUGGGGUAGUGGCUUACCAAGGCUUUGACGGGUAGCCGGCCUGAGAGGGCGACCGGCCACAUUGGGACUGAGAUACGGCCCAGACUCCUACGGGAGGCAGCAGUGGGGAAUAUUGCACAAUGGGCGGAAGCCUGAUGCAGCAACGCCGCGUGCGGGAUGACGGCCUUCGGGUUGUAAACCGCUUUCAGCAGGGGCGAAGCUUGUGGUGACGGUACCUGCAGAAGAAGCACCGGCUAACUACGUG